CCUACGGGAGGCAGCAGUGGGGAAUAUUGGGCAAUGGGCGCAAGCCUGACCCAGCAAAGCCGCGUGAAGGAAGAAGGCUUUCGGGUUGUAAACUUCUUUUCUCAGGGGCGAAGAAAGUGACGGUAGCUGAGGAAUAAGCAUCGCCUAACUACGUGCAAGCAGCCGCGGUAGUACGUCGGCGGCCGGAGUGAUCAGGAUUUAUUGGGUGUAAAGGGCGUGUUGGGGGGAGCUCAAGUGAGGUGGUAACGCUCAUGGCGCAACCCUGGGCCUGCAUGUGACACUGUGGUUCUUGGGUGCUGGGGAGGCAAGCGGAAUGCCGGGUGUAGCGGUGAAAGGCGUAGAUAUACGGAGGAACACCAGUGGCGAAGGCGGAUUGCUGGACAGUAACUGACGCUGAGGCGCGAAAGCGUGGGGAGCAAACAGGAUUAGAUACCCUUGUAGUC
RNAcentral lists this ribosomal RNA (443 nucleotides) under uncultured bacterium. RNAcentral's name for it is "partial 16S ribosomal RNA". It matches the Rfam family "Bacterial small subunit ribosomal RNA", at positions 338 to 795 of the family's 1533-position model. The record is from RNAcentral.